AUUUAAAAAUUUUAUUUAUUUGUAUUAUUAAAAAUCAGUGUGAUUGAGACAGUAAUACGUGGCGUGCCAUAUGUACAUCAUACUAAUAUAUAUGAACUAAUUUUUAAUAAUAAAAAUAGAUAAAUUUUUUAAUA
Gossypium hirsutum (cotton) is the source of this 134-nucleotide non-coding RNA. Lineage: Eukaryota; Viridiplantae; Streptophyta; Magnoliopsida; Malvales; Malvaceae. The record is from Rfam.